CAGAAGACCCCUUUAAAGACCCCACUUGGAGUUCCAGGAACCAGAAUACAAGGGCAUUAAACGGCAACACAUGGCAUGCCACACACCGAGACAAAAGCUGGGCAUUCCACACACCAUAAGGGGGUGUUACAUGCCAAUGAAGACCCACCUCCAGGAAUGCAUGCUUCCUGCAUGCAAAACGUGACAUUUCAUAGGAAAAGCAUGUCAAUUGGCCCAAAUUUUAUAAUUAAUCCUUUUUGCUACUCCAAGCCCAUUCAGAAUACAAUUUGAGACCACCAAAUCUUUGAAAAGAAGAUACAAAGUUGAAGAUUUAACGCGGAAGAUUUGAUUUGAUUUGAUUUGAUUUUGUUUUGUUUUUAAAUUUAAGUUUGAAUUUAAUAAUUUAGUUUAUUUUCCCUUAGUAUAUAAGGAUCCUAAAAGCAUCCGAGGGAUUAGCCCUGGGCCAUUUUCUCAUAUUUUUGGUUUUUGUUUUCUCAAGCAUGAGCCACUAAUCUCCUUGGUUAAGAAUGUAGUUAGAUAGACCAACAGUUAUUGAGGUACGAGCAUACGCUUUACAGAUUGGAUCAGGCUGAGCACAUUGCCGGCAGAUUUGAUCGAGUGGUGCCUCGGAUCUUGCGCACCAGACAGAAUUUGAUGAGACACCCGCCUGAGCAGAUUAGACCAUAUCUCAGGUGAGCCGGGUUUGAGCAUGUGGCGUAUAUGGUGGAGUUCAAGCACAAUUGGUCAUUGGCAUCAGCGUUGAUAGAGAGGUGGGGACCUGAGUCCCAUACGUUUCAUCUACCAUGCGGGAAGAUGACUAUCACCCAGCAGGACGUGGCCUACCAAUUGGAACUCAAGAUUGAUGGCAAUCCUGUUGGUGGCUACAUCGGCAGGUGGGAGCAGCACCAUGAUAGAUGGCCAGCGAUUUCUAGCUCAUUUUGGGCCCAAUCCAACUCAAAUCUGAUGCUAUUGAACCCAAGGAUUGAAGGGGGAAUGAACCAAGUAGUCAUGGUUUAGUUUCCAUCAUGUUUUAGGGGUAGAAUUCUAGAGAGAGAGGCUCACUCAUCUCUCUAGAUUUAGGAUAGAAAUUAGGGUAAAGUUAGGUUAAUCACUCUCAAACUUCUCUU
Molecule: non-coding RNA, 1106 nt
Organism: Arachis ipaensis
Lineage: Eukaryota; Viridiplantae; Streptophyta; Magnoliopsida; Fabales; Fabaceae
Source: RefSeq, a predicted model, not a curated record